UACGUAGGGUGCGAGCGUUGUCCGGAAUUACUGGGCGUAAAGAGCUCGUAGGUGGUUUGUCGCGUCGUCUGUGAAAUUCCGGGGCUUAACUUCGGGCGUGCAGGCGAUACGGGCAAUACUUGAGUGCUGUAGGGGAGACUGGAAUUCCUGGUGUAGCGGUGGAAUGCGCAGAUAUCAGGAGGAACACCGAUGGCGAAGGCAGGUCUCUGGGCAGUAACUGACGCUGAGGAGCGAAAGCAUGGGUAGCGAACAGGAUUA
RNAcentral lists this ribosomal RNA (258 nucleotides) under uncultured prokaryote. RNAcentral's name for it is "partial 16S ribosomal RNA". It matches the Rfam family "Bacterial small subunit ribosomal RNA", at positions 524 to 780 of the family's 1533-position model. The record is from RNAcentral.